GAAUUUACCACGUGAUACUGAAAUGAUCUCUGCAUGCCCUCUGCCCAUACCAGGGAAGGGACCUCGUCAUCCCAGGGCCUAGUUCAAAGCCUGGUAGAUGGUGGGCACUCAACAAAUGGUUGAACUGGACUAGAAUCUCAAGGAUCAACUAGGAAACUCAGUGUUCAAAAUGGACUUAAUUUCUGUGUUUUUCAGUCAGGUUGCUGGAUAUCCACUUCCACAUCAGGAAAAAUUUAAGUUAACAUUAUUUUAAAGGAGAGAAAAAGAAGAAUGUUUUGACAAAAUUCUUGCUUGACUUUAAAAUAUAAAUCUUGGUGGACAAGGUCACUUACAUACAAUUAAACUACUACGACAAAGCAAAACCAAAGGAAUCUCAUUUGAUGAAUACUUAUGUCCAGUAACUUUGAUACAUAGUUUAGAGCUUUCCCUUUGCUUAGAAGUCAAAAUUCAGGUUUAAAAAUUGAUUUUUAAGCAAAAAUAAAUUAUACUUUUAAAAAGUGAAUCUCAAAACAUGAGAAGGUGAUGUUCCUAAGAAGGGCAAAUGCUGCAGGCGCAGAGACUCACUCCAGGCCAGCCUUCACACAACAGGGUAGGGUGCAUUCAGUGCCCCUGGAUUUCCACUUAAAUGUUGCCACUGGGAUGGUCUCUGGGGAAGACCACAAGAACGAGUUAAUGCUGAGGAAGACCUGCAAUAAUUGACUCAUUGCAUAGUAUCCACACACUCCUAACUACAGGGCUGCGGCCAAAAGAAGUGUCAAAUUCGCUUAUGAUAAGAGGAGCAGACCUGGUUCCUGAGAGCUCCCUGUCUCAAGGCAGUGCAAGUCUCUCCUCCCACUCAUGCCAUUGCCAGCUAAUGUUCAAAAACAACUGUUCCUUGAAAAUUCUUCUUUUAGAUUCUCUUGUUUACACCUCAGCUAUAUCUAACUGCCUGGCAUGACUAAAGUGUUUUGUGCUUGGAACAUCCUACAUCUCUGAAGAUCCCUUCCAGUUUUGUGAUUUUAUGAUUCUUUGAACAAUUCAAACAAUCAAAUGAGAAAUACAUCAUGGUUGAUUGACCUCAUAUAAAAAGACACACGAUUCCAAGUAUUUUAUCUAAAACCACUUUUGCUACUGUGGAGACACAUCCAGGCAGUUUAAAGUUGCAGCAAUAUCAUUUCUUUGGAGAAACUGAGAGCAUGCGAUUGGUCUUAUCCUACCAAAUAAAGGACAACCACGUGUGCGGUCUGUGCAGUCUUGCCGCUUUCCCAAUGUAGCCACGUUAGGCAUCACUUGCCAGAGCUGCUGUAUGUUGAAGUAAUAGAGCAAAAUUUAUGUAAAGUGCAAUUCCAACAUCAGCACAUAUCUCUCUCUGAGUCAGAAAAAUGGUGGAGAUACUCAAUGUAAAACUCAAGAAUUCACAGUAUUAUAAACACACAGUUGGCUUGCUUAGCGCUUCUCUCCAAAUUCAAGCACUCCCACAGAUGAGGAGAAAGAUAAGGGCAGCGUGAUGGAUACCUUGACACAUCUGUGGUUUUUUGAUCAUGACUCUCAUCACCAAUGAGGUGUCAAGUGGUUUCAACCUCUAAGUGGCUCUGUGGCCUGGGGAGCUAUGGUGGGAGGGAGAUGGCUGGAGAGAAGUGCAGGGUCCCAGACCAGAGCAAUCACGGUGUAGACAGGUGAUCCAGUGGGGACAAUCAGUUUCCCCAAUGGGGUCUGAGCUCACCUAGACCCAACCCAGACCCACGUCAGGCGGCUGGGCACCUCAUCUACUGCCUCCCUGACACUGUGUUUCCCUGUCUGUGUACAGGCUGUGCGCCAAAGUUCAGGAAGGGAAAACAGAGCGAUUCAUUUCUAUUACUCAUUUCCAACACAUAGCUCUCUACUAUGUACAACUCAGUAAGUGGCUCCAGGAAAAGAGAAAAAAAAUAGGGAGGAUUUCAAAUACUACCACAAAAAACUGUCAAAUAAGACACUGAGGAGGUAGGGCUUGGAGAAAGAAGGGCAAGUAAUUGGCCUGUUUAUCUGCAAGGCUUUAUUUAACCUGGAGAUCCCCAAGAGACUCAGUGAUCCCCCAGUGCUCCCAACAGGUGAGGGUUGAAUGAGCUGGGACAUGUAAAGUGCUUAGGAUGGGGCAGGCACGCAGCACAUGCCUGCUGCUAAUUUAAGCUCUAUUUUUACAGGUGAAAAUAAGAUUUUUUUAAAAGGACUUCAAUAUCCCGAGUUGAGUCAUUUACACACAAGAAUAUUCCGCUUUAUCAAGUUUGACUGAAUUCCCUUAAAAUUCAGGUUCCUCAGGUUCAUUUUCUAAAGCCCUUUUUUUACAUUCCCAACAGGAACGCAGCAUGAGCUGUAGGAUUCAGUACCUUUUAUGUCUCAGAUCACACAGCUUAGUAUGAAAGUGUGCAAAGUGUUCUGAUAAAAUACAUUAAGAUAAAAAUCUUUAAAUAUCUAGUUUUUAAAGGGGAAGAAAAUACAGAUGGCGAGGAGUAGAGCAGGAUACAAUCUCGCAGUAAGGAACAUGUUCAAGUUCAGAGGUGACACCACAUGGAAAAACACAUCCUGAAGACAUUUCUUUUGGAAGGACACAGAGUUUUGGU
RNAcentral lists this long non-coding RNA (2576 nucleotides) under Equus caballus (horse). RNAcentral's name for it is "lncRNA (ENSECAG00000047630.1)". Lineage: Eukaryota; Metazoa; Chordata; Mammalia; Perissodactyla; Equidae. The record is from RNAcentral.